UAAGGAAUAUUGGUCAAUGGACGAAAGUCUGAACCAGCCAUGCCGCGUGAAGGAUGACGGCCCUCUGGGUUGUAAACUUCUUUUAUCUGGGACGAAAAAAGAUCAUUCCUGAUCACUUGACGGUACCAUGUGAAUAAGCACCGGCUAACUCCGUGCCAGCAGCCGCGGUAAUACGGAGGGUGCAAGCGUUAUCCGGAUUCACUGGGUUUAAAGGGUGCGUAGGUGGGUUGGUAAGUCAGUGGUGAAAUCUCCGAGCUUAACUUGGAAACUGCAUUCGAUACCGGGAAGCUAGAGUAUGGGAGAGGAUGGUAGAAUUCCAGGUGUAGCGGUGAAAUGCGUAGAUAUGCGGAGGAACACCGAUGGCGAAGGCAAUCCCCUGGACCUGUACUGACGCUCAUGCACGAAAGCGUGGGGAGCAAACA
This 422-nucleotide ribosomal RNA is filed under the name uncultured bacterium. RNAcentral's name for it is "bacterial SSU rRNA". It matches the Rfam family "Bacterial small subunit ribosomal RNA", at positions 355 to 774 of the family's 1533-position model. The record is from RNAcentral.